This is a long non-coding RNA of Bombina bombina (fire-bellied toad), 843 nucleotides long. RefSeq lists it as uncharacterized. The transcript has 3 exons. The record is from RefSeq and is a predicted model, not a curated record. Lineage: Eukaryota; Metazoa; Chordata; Amphibia; Anura; Bombinatoridae.
GGAGUCUUUACAAGGAACAGUAUAGGACAAGCGCAUCUCAUAUUGAAGAAUUUUACUCACUCUGAGCACACUGAGCACAGAGACCAUGCAGACAGCUGUGGCAAUCUUGAAUAAAAUGUGCAGAUCAAAGUGAACUGGCACAGCAGUUGGCAGCAUCUAGUGGAUUGUGGACUAUAGAUCAGCAAUCCUCCACAUCAUCAUCGUCCAUUGACGGCCAGCAUAAUUUCUCUUCUACGGACAGCAAGCCUGAUCCGUGUUCAAGCAGUGGUGCUCAUGCAUCUCGGAUCCGCAAUCACCUUUGUGAUAUAAUCAACUCUGGGAAACUGGUACCAACUCUACAGAUGAGGACCAUACUGAUUCAGACUCCUCUCAAGUAGAUCUAUCUGUUGUGAAGCCUUGGUUAACAGUAAACUUUCGGAAUGCUCCACCUGUAGCGCCACCAACUGUUGAUCCUCCAGUAAUUAUCUCUGCACGUUCUGUCAUUUCUCCUGUUUCUACCUUUCUUCCAGCUGCUAUUCAACCAGAAGACAGACUAAUGUCAACUUUUUUUUCAAUCUGCCAAGGAGUACAUUGCUGAGCAGCAAGAAAUGGGCCACCAAUUAAAUGAGAAUUUAUGUAGGCUCGUCGCACUACACGAAGAGCAACUUUAAAUUGAAAAACAAACUCUUGAAUUGUUGAGCCGAAAACUAGAGGACUCUCGAAGAAAUGACCUUCUCUACGCACUUCUCGAAAACGUUAUUUCUAUGACCAACAGUGGUAACGGUUCCCCACAUCUGGACUCUAACAAUGAUAGGGGACCGAUUCGAUCAAAUUUACCUAAUAAAAAUUAAAUAAAAAAGGAAA